Molecule: long non-coding RNA, 715 nt
Organism: Oreochromis niloticus (Nile tilapia)
Lineage: Eukaryota; Metazoa; Chordata; Actinopteri; Cichliformes; Cichlidae
Exons: 2
Source: RefSeq, a predicted model, not a curated record
CAGGUAACAAGCUCACCUGUCCACAAUCAUCUCAUCGGCCUGAAGAAGCCUUGAAGCAGAUCUCAGAGUGUUUGCUGAGACAGAAUCCCAUGGAGGAAAGGAUUUAUGGACCUGCCUGUUUUCUGACCUUGCAUUUCACUAACCAAAAACAUUUUGCAAAUCAUUCUUUUAAAUAAACCUGUGACCCUUCUGAGCCUUCAUUACAACACUAAACAACAUGAAUGCAUUGUUCCAUCCUGCCUUCAAUGAACAUUUCAUGCUGCUGCUGGUGAAAUGGUGUUUUCUUUGCACAUUAUUAAACACCACAGCCUACCUGAGUAUUGUUGCUGACCACGUCCAUCCCUUUCUGACCAUGGGCUACCCAUCUUCCAGUAAUUUUAAUGGGAGAUUCACAUCUUGGAGGCACAGCUGGCAAAUCUGCAGCAACUGUGUGACAUCAUCGUAUCAAUAUGGACCGAAAUCUCUGAGAAAUGUUUCCAGCAGUUUGUUGACACCCUCAUGCAGUCACUUUUCCUUAAAGGCAGCGGUUCUAAAUCAUCAUCCUACACAGUUUUUAUUUAGUACCCUUGCUGACACAUGUUAACAAGUAUUCAAAUGAAGAUGUAAACAGUCAGCAGUAGAGACAUGUAAGUGCAAUAUUAGGGGAAACUACCACAACUGCAGUGUAAAGCUUGAAUUAAGAGUUUAAUGCUUAAUUCUAUUGACGACUCAUAUU